AGUGAACGCUGGCAGCAGGCCUAACACAUGCAAGUCGAGCGGCAGCGCGUCCGACCACCCUCGGGUGGUCGGAUGGCGGCGAGCGGCGGACGGGUGAGGAAUGCAUCGGAAUCUGCCUCGUUGUGGGGGAUAACGUAGGGAAACUUACGCUAAUACCGCAUACGACCUACGGGUGAAAGUGGGGGACCUUCGGGCCUCACGCGAUGAGAUGAGCCGAUGCCGGAUUAGCUAGUUGGCGGGGUAAAGGCCCACCAAGGCGACGAUCCGUAGCUGGUCUGAGAGGAUGAUCAGCCACACUGGAACUGAGACACGGCCCAGACUCCUACGGGAGGCAGCAGUGGGGAAUUUUGGACAAUGGGCGCAAGCCUGAUCCAGCCAUGCCGCGUG
This 387-nucleotide ribosomal RNA is filed under the name uncultured bacterium. RNAcentral's name for it is "bacterial SSU rRNA". It matches the Rfam family "Bacterial small subunit ribosomal RNA", at positions 30 to 403 of the family's 1533-position model. The record is from RNAcentral.